Molecule: long non-coding RNA, 283 nt
Filed under: Lathyrus oleraceus (garden pea)
Lineage: Eukaryota; Viridiplantae; Streptophyta; Magnoliopsida; Fabales; Fabaceae
Description: Pisum sativum (pea) long non-coding RNA (PSAT_LNC012271)
Source: RNAcentral
UAACAUAUCACAUAAGUUGUCUAGCUCAUCCAGGUUGACAUCUUCAUCAUUGAUUAGUUGGUUGAUCUAAAACUGUCGAUUGCAACUUCUUUAAGUAGAUGUACCUUGAGAACCACAUGAGUAAUUCUUCACUUGAGAACCCGGAAAUCAACUUACAUCUUCUUCCAAGCUCAACUCCAUAUCAGACUGCAUCUGAUGAACCACAUGAUCCACCAUGUUGUUUGACAGGACAUCAACACACAUGGGAGCUAUCUCAAGACUCUCAUUGUCUUUAACAAUGAUU